AGACAUAUUUGCAGCAUGUGAUCUCGUCACUUUAACACUAUAAGCAUUUGGGAUCAAGAUGAGACUUAGUGGGGACAAACCACGACAAUUCAUGUCGUUCCACUUGAACACUUGUGUUCUUAUCUCCCCCUAACGGCGGGAAUAUUGUCUCAUCAAAGUGACAAUCCGCAAUUUAGCGGUGAAUGAGAUCGCCUGACAAGGUUCCUACAUAUGCGGAUUAUAGGUGGAGGUUCAUAUCCAACCUAAACUUAUUCAUCUCAAAUGACCCAUCAUUGUACGCAGUGGCAAUACGAUUUGGCACCUAGAAAUAACAUCUAGCCGAGCUCAAGGAUUGGAGAUCCGUUUCAAUCCUACCGAGCUCAAGGAUUGCAAUUUCGUGUCAAUCCUGGUACACAGUCACGAGCUGUAGUACAACAAAAUUCAAUGAUGGUGGGUCGUAGAUGAAUAGUAAAGCUGCAUGCAAAUAUUGCAUUUGCAUAGCCCCAAGACGCAAUAGAAAGAGUGGUACGCAUCAAUAAUGUUCGAGCGACAAGCUAAAGUUGCUUGGUCGUAGCCUCGGUGAGACCGUAUUGCGUGUGAACAUGGGGUACAUGACACUUCAACUUACAUCCCGAUGAACUUCUUUAAAGAAUAGGUAGUGAGCCCGUAGAAGUAUAAGCAGUAGAUAAUAGUGUAACACGUGACCAGUGUGUUAACACGUCAACCAACACUAUAAAUCAUAAAAAGGUGUCUGCAAGUUGGUUGUAUCUAUCUACAUAGUUUGAUGUAAGAAUAGAAUGUUCACUUUUGUGUUAUUUAGCGUAGGAGGGUCUCACUCCUUAUUUAGCUAAAGAAUAGGCUUUCAAAACGAGCAAUGAGCAUUGCAGGGGGUCAAUGCGACAUCGAGGAAAGGCCGGUGCACCUCAAUUGCUUGAGGAAUUGACCGGACGACCUCCAGGAAGUUGGAGUCGUGUUCGGGUGACGUCAAUGUCCCCCGGGUCACCACUAUGCUUCAUGGUGAUGCUAGAUCUCGAAUGUCUUCGUUUUGAGCGGAAGAAUGGAUGUCCGUGAGAAUUUCUCAAAAUUUGGACCAUUAUAUCUCUUCCAGGUUGACUAAUUUGGUCAAACCAAAGCCUAUAUGAGUCGGUGUCCCAAAUAUCAUGUUUGGCGACAACAUGGGAUUCGAUAUUCGAAUCGUAGUGACAUACAGUUCACUAGAUUGACUCAUGAAUUUCUCCAAGAUGCGCUUCAGUUCGCAUUCAUAAGGAGGUAUACACAAAAGAAUUCUUGUUCAUUCUCACAAUAUGUUUUCAAAUGAAAACCAUUAGCAUAAAUGUCUUUAAAGCUCAACAUGGUUCCUUAGAAUGUUGUGGAUAGUUUCACUAUCUGGGAAGCACUCAAUGUCUCUAUGAGACAUAACUUUAAGGAGUAGAUAGGCGAGUAAAUAGUUCUACUUGAACCAUUUAGAAGGAUUGAAAGAAGCUACGAAAAGCUGCAAUCCCGAGAGUGCAUAAAAAUUUCCGCGCAGAAUGACCUUUGCGCACUAAAACAGCCAUAACUUCUUCGUUAAAAUAGAUAUGGAUGAACCCUGAAAAGUUCUGAAAACUAGACUCAUAGAGCUUUCCAAUGAUAUAAAGCUCACUGUUGGGUUCGUCCGGAGCUGUUCACAAAGCUCAAACGAAGUUGGCUGUCCAGAAGGGACAGAUUGCUGUUUUUCGCAGAUUUGGCAUGUGCGAAGCUGUGAAGCUUGCAGGUGGCGUGUAGGCUUUUUCCUUAGCCAAAAGUGACGUGUGUAUGAUCAAAACCAAGUCCUUUCGAUCGUUCUAAGGUUGUAAACUCCAUGACUAGUUAGCAAAAGCUCCCUGACAUGAACAUAAACUAACUCAGAGGACCUAGAGGAUCCGAUUAUGAUCAGAUGACCAGGCAUGUCCUUAAUUUCGGUAACUCCAAGUCAGUAUGACCAGGCAUGUCCGUGGAGGGUCGGUAGUGCGAGGCACACUUAAAACCACUAUCUUCUUAAUUUCGGGCAAUUCUAAGACAUCACACUGAGCUUGGAUGAGCCUAGUUGAACAAUUGAUGAUGAAAAAUCCUCUAUAGGGUAGAAGACUUAACCGGAAACAAGUGGGCGAUCAUCCUUGAGGAUGCAGUGCCAUGAGUCACCUUCAAAGGAAGGGACCAAAAUCGGCACAAUAUGCCAUAUUUCUAAGGACGAUGUAAGUGUACAUCUUGAUUGUAAAUCAAUAUGAACCAUAAGAGGAGAAUAGUUUCACUUCGAAAAAUUCUCAAGGCAUUCAUUAUUGCUAAUGUGAGUACAUCGAGGUCUCAAAUAGACAAAGGACGUCGAUACAACGCCUUAGUACAUAUAACUUGGAACGAAAAUCAAUGUCUAGCCGAUGACAUCAAAGUCAUGGGUAGCUAGAGCAGGAUCCGAAUCUUUGAAAUUCGCGAUCAUGAGGAUGACGUUCUUGUCCUCAUAUUGAUUUUCCA
This 2466-nucleotide long non-coding RNA is filed under the name Fragaria vesca (wild strawberry). RNAcentral describes it as "long non-coding RNA (FVES_LNC004098)". The record is from RNAcentral. Lineage: Eukaryota; Viridiplantae; Streptophyta; Magnoliopsida; Rosales; Rosaceae.